AGUGAACGCUGGCGGUAGGCCUAACACAUGCAAGUCGAACGGCAGCACAGUAAGAGCUUGCUCUUACGGGUGGCGAGUGGCGGACGGGUGAGGAAUACAUCGGAAUCUACUUUUUCGUGGGGGAUAACGUAGGGAAACUUACGCUAAUACCGCAUACGACCUACGGGUGAAAGCAGUGGAUCUUCGGACCUUGCGCGAUUGAAUGAGCCGGUGUCGGAUUAGCUAGUUGGCGGGGUAAAGGCCCACCAAGGCGACGAUCCGUAGCUGGUCUGAGAGGAUGAUCAGCCACACUGGAACUGAGACACGGUCCAGACUCCUACGGGAGGCAGCAGUGGGGAAUAUUGGACAAUGGGCGCAAGCCUGAUCCAGCCAUACCGCGUGGGUGAAGAAGGCCUUCGGGUUGUAAAGCCCUUUUGUUGGGAAAGAAAAGCAGCAGGUUAAUACCCCGCUGUUCUGACGGUACCCAAAGAAUAAGCACCGGCUAACUUCGUG
RNAcentral lists this ribosomal RNA (492 nucleotides) under uncultured bacterium. Its description in RNAcentral is "partial 16S ribosomal RNA". It matches the Rfam family "Bacterial small subunit ribosomal RNA", at positions 29 to 507 of the family's 1533-position model. The record is from RNAcentral.